AGUCAUAUGCUUGUCCAGAGGAUUAAGCCAUGCRAGUGCCAGUAUAAGCGAUUCUUACGGCGAAACUGCGAACGGCUCAUUAAAUCUGUUUUGGUCCACGCACCGAUCGUGCGUCUCUYGUUUGGAACCCUCGGGUUCUGGGGAGGCUCGCUACAUGGAUAACCGUUGAAAUGCAAUGGCUAAUACAUGCGUCGAGGCGCGCCCCUGGUUGGCGCGCCGUAUUUAUUAGAUACAAACCAACAUCUCUUGUCGGUGACUCACAAUAACUGGUCGAAUCGCAUUCCCCCUUUCGUGGGGAGGCGAUACGGUGCUCGAGAUUCAGCCCUAUCAGCUUUGGAUGGUAGGGUCUUGGCCUACCAUGGCGUUAACGGGUAACGGGGAAUUAGGGUUCGAUUCCGGAGAGGGGGCCUGAGAAACGGCCACCACAUCCAAGGAAGGCAGCAGGCGCGUAAUUUACCAACUCGGGGCUCCCGGAGGUAGCGAAUGGACGUAACAACGCCGGGCUUMUUCAAGUCUGGUCGUGGCAAUGAGAACAAUCUAAACCCAUUAUCGAGGAUCAAUUGGAGGGCAAGCCUGGUGCCAGCAGCCGCGGUAAUUCCAGCUCCAGUAGCGUAUUCUAAAGUUGCUGCAGUUAAAAAGCUCGUAGUUGAACCUCAAAAGGGUGUUUCGCGCUGCGGUCCACUGUCCCUUUGUUGGCGGUGUUCUUCUCGCACGCCGCCCUUUUCUUUUCCUCGCGCAGCGUUUCGUGCUGGCAUUAAGUUGCCGGUGCGGCGUAUGUUGCGCGUCUUUUACUGUGAGCAAAAUAGAGUGUUCCAAGCAUUCCGUUCAUUCCAAUGGAAACUGCAUACUUCAGCAUGGGAUAAUGAGAUACGGCCGCCCGGUUUUAACUUGUUGGUUUGUUCCGGUUCUUAGCGGCAAUGAUGAAUAGGGACAGUUGGGGGUGUCCGUACUCCGGCGUCAGAGGUGAAAUUCUUGGAUUGCCGGAAGACGAACGACUGCGAAAGCAUUCACCAGGGAUGUUUUCAUUAAUCAAGAACGACAGCCAGGGGAUCGAAGACAAUUAGAUACCGUCGUAGUCCUGGCCAUAAACGAUGCCGACCAGGGAUGGGCCGUCCGCUUCAUUUUCCACGAACGCGGUCCGCACCUUGGGAGAAAUCACAAGUCUUYGGGUUCCGGGGGGAGUAUGGUCUCUCGACUGAAACUUAAAGGAAUUGACGGAAGGGCACCACCAGGAGUGGAGCCUGCGGCUUAAUCUGACUCAACACGGAGAACCUUUCCAGGGCCAGACACAAUGGGGAUUGACAGAUUGACAGCUCUUUCUUGAUUCUGUGGGUGGUGGUGCAUGGCCGUUUGUAGUUGGUGGAGUGAUUUGUCUGGUUCAUUCCGAUAACGAACGAGACCCCCGCCUGCUAACUAGCGGGGCGUACAGCCUCGUUGCUGUACGGCAGCAAUCUYUUUAUCCCGCUUCUUAGAGGGACUUUCGGUGCUUUAGCCGAAGGAAGUUGGGGGCAACAACAGGUCUGUGAUGCCCUUAGAUGUCCUGGGCCGCACGCGCGCUACACUGACGCGCGCAGCGAGUGUUGCAGCUUAAAGUCCCCCUUYUCCCUYUCGGGGKWGGGGGAUGUCGACCUUCUGCGGAAGCAGCGGGGAACCUUGUGAAUGCGCGUCGUGAUAGGGAUAGAUUCUUGCAAUUGUUAAUCUUGAACGAGGAAUUCCUUGUAAACGCAAGUCAUCAGCUUGCAUUGAAUACGUCCCUGCCCUUUGUACACACCGCCCGUCGCACCUACCGAUUGAACGACUCGGUGAAGCCUCCGGAUGGGACGCGGCAUCCCUCCUUUUGGGGGGGGACGCCGCGACCCAGAAGUUGUCUGAACCUCGUUGUUUAGAGGAAGGUGAAGUCGUAACAAGGUUUCC
RNAcentral lists this ribosomal RNA (1914 nucleotides) under Chrysopodocystis socialis. RNAcentral's name for it is "SSU rRNA". It matches the Rfam family "Eukaryotic small subunit ribosomal RNA". Lineage: Eukaryota; Chrysophyceae; Hibberdiales; Stylococcaceae. The record is from RNAcentral.